GCCAGAGCAGUCAGCACUCUCAAAGCUGCCUUUCUCUGUGCACUGUCCGUGAAUGAGGCAUCUGAAUCUGCUCUCAAGGGCUGGACCUCACACUGCUUGCCCUCAUUUUGCUGGUUUGAUUCCAGAUUUUAAAGGUAACUGCUGUGGUGAGGAGCACUUUCCACCAGCUUCCACUGGUCCAUUAACUGUUCCCUUACCUGGAUGAGCAGAGCAACACUGAGACCCUUACCUAGCAGCAGUGAGACCCAUGCACUGAUCCAGGUCUGAGGUCCUUCUUUGGGAGCCCUCUUUGAAGGAGAUCAGAAGAACAGCUACCUGGAGAAGGGCCUUUUCUGCAGUGGCACCCCAGCUCUGGAACUUGCUCCCCGGAGAGGUACGCAUAGUGCCGUCCCUUUAUUCAUUUUGGUACCAGACUAGAACCUUUUUAUUUUCCCUGCAUUUUAAGACUUAAUUGUGAUUUUAAUAUUGGUUUUUAUUAGAUUUAUACUGUAUUGUGUGCUGCCACUUUGCUUUGUAUCCCAAUUUUCAAAAAGGGUAGUAGAAAGGACAUGAGGAAUUAUAGACCGGUUAGCCUUACGUCCAUUGUAGGAAAAACAAUGGAAAGGCUCAUAAUAGAGAGAGAUCUAGUGAUGCUAGAUAGGGAAGGGAGGCUGACAGCCACACAACAGGGCUUCCACAAAAACUGAUUGAGUCCUGAAGUUAAUACCUUCUGUGGUUAAAAUCCCACUGUGAACAACCAAUCAAUCAGCAGGUUCCCAUCAGCUGGAAUGGGUGAACCAUGAAGCCUACUGGUCCAAAAGGUCUGAACAGAGACGGGUUGGGCCAAGUGCCCACAUUAUAUACCAGCGGUGGUCAGACUUGCUCAACAGAGGAGCCAUAUACAGUAAAUGUCAGAUGUUUGAGGGUUGCAAGUGGGUGCCUUCAGGCAGCAAAGUCAGAUGGCAAGUAGCAGAAAGUCAAAGAGCUGCAUGUGGUUCAUGAGCCCUGGUUUGGCCAAGCCUGUUAUAUACCCUCUGUUGUUUACAGCAAAGCAUACAUUGAUGCAGGUGUGAGUUUUCAAAUUACACGCCAGCUUUAGGGCCUUGUCUGCUUAUUGGCAAGAUGCUUCUUCUCACCCUAAGCCAGUACUGGCACUGCUAGCAGUCAAUGGAUAGAUGGGCAAGAUCACACUACACUUAUUGAGCAAGGUGGUGCUGCGGUCGAUGGGAGUAGGAGCAGCCUGUGCCAUAAUCCAGUUAACUUGGUCUAAAUCUUGGCCUAAGCCGAAGUCUUGAUAAGCCAGCACCUCCCCUUUAUGCCAGUAAAGGGGUCCAUCCUUUGUCCAUCUUCCCUGCCUAGAGACCUUGUCAAGUGGCCCAAGAUGGUCUACCUUCCAAGGAACCAGUAGGAACCAGCAGUAGGACUGUGCCUUGCAUGAUGCAUCUACAGCACCGUCCACUGUGGCUUCCUGUAACCCUCCAGACAAGGACAAGGCAGGAGGAGUUUGGAGGCAAGGAUUGCCCCACACUUCCCUUGCCCUCCAAACCAUGGAGAUGGCUGAUUUCAGCCAUCUGAGGGCUUUACCCUGCUUCUGAGGAAGAGGGACGAAGGUACCACUGACUCCCAGCAGAGCCUGGCUCCUACCCUCCCUUGUUCCAAAUCUGAAGCCUUAGUGCCAACUUCUGGCCACUUUUCUGAGGUCAGCGCGGUGGCUUUGAAUUCUUCUAUGUCUAUUUCUAGACUGUGGUUGGGUUCACAGGUUGUGACAAGUACCCUUGCGCAGUUCCUGCUCUUAGUGGUUUGCUGUCUCAGUGUGCCUGGCAGAUGAUCAGUCACAUCGUGGUAACUCUCUUCUCUCCCGCCAUUGCCUUUCCUCUCAGUCCUCCAGGUGGCAUCCCAGGGGGAAAUGAGGCUCCUGUCUUUGACAACCACGAUCACAAGCCAAGCUUGGCUUACCAAGGCUGUCAUGCAGUCUUUGCUCUGCAAACAGACCUGAUGCCCUGAUGGGUAGCAGAAAGGAGGAGGGCGAUGAUCCGCAUCCUCCCCUCCAGCUCCAGGGAGGACUGCCAGAGCAGGAGAGGGGUGCCUGAUCCAUGCUCAGGCAACAGGGGAUCCUGCCGGGCAGCACUGUGGGAGGAGCAGUGCUACUCAACUAAUAUUCCUUCUGGCCUCUCCAGGCACACCAGAGGAUAUCCUCCCUUGCACAGGUGGGAAGGUGUGAGAAUCAGCUGGGUGGGGAUGCUUGACUGGAGCCUGCGCUGCUCAGCUGAUUCCCUUGCUCAUCCUCCUUUCUUGCUCCCACUUGCAAGAGAGGUGUCCCCAACCAGGUGCCCACAUGAGAGCCUUUGCUGCAAGCAGCCGCAGAGAAGGGGUGUUCACCUCCCUUUCUUGCUUCUGCUUACCAAGGAGGUGCCUGCCAGUUGAGUCCUGCUGAACAGGGCAAGCGAUGAGGGAUCGUGUGGAACUUUUCCUUCCAUAUAGCCAGGUGGUUGUGAGCCACUCCUGAAAGAGCCUAAAGAAAGAGUAUGAAAGAUACUCCUGAAGAGUGUGGCCUAGGGGUCUCUUCGAAUUGUACAGAAUCUGGACUCAGCAAAGGCCUGAUAAAUGGUCUCCUAGACUGAAUGAAGAUUUUUAAAUCUCAACGCCUCUUAAAUCUCAACGUCUGUGUCACUGCCUCAUUCCACAUCCUGCUCUCUGUUAUGACAUGAGAAUGUCAUGUUGCCCUACACUAUGAAGUUGCUAAAUAAGGUAUAUAGAGCACUUUGAACUAUUAAGUAAAAGGAGUAUAUAAUCAUUAGCUAAAAUGAUUGCUGAUUCUGAAUCCAUAUUGCUCUGAGAAGAAAUCCUGAUAGAAAACACUCCUUUCUUUCCUGAACAAUCUUUGCCCCUUAUACUCUUGUGGAGUUGCUUUUUCUCCAGAAGCAACUAAAAGACCAGAUGGCACGUCGUCUGGAUGUACAGUCACCAGAUUGUACAUGUGGCUAGAGUGGGGCCAGUGCAAAGUCCAAGGAUCCAGGAACUGCCCUAGCAAAGAAUUUGCUGGGCAAGAAUGGGGAAUUUUCAGAAGCACAUCUUUAGCAGUCUAAGGGCGUCAGCCUCAGAAUGGCAAAUAGCUGAUCCACACGGAUCAGAAAAGCCGAGGGCAAGAGCAACGUGCAUUUGCUCAUGAAAGAGACUUCAUCCUUUCAUGAGCAAAUCCAAGGCACAUUGCCAAGAGCCAAACUGCUGAUUUGCUGCCACUCUCGCAUGUUUCCCUGGUAGCAUCAUGUUUUCCUCUGCUUUUCAAGGCUGCACACUUGUGUCAGUUAAGGUGCAAGUCUCAUGCUGCCACCUGGAAUGACCAAAUUUCAGGGUCAAGUUGUGCAUACAAGCUGCUCCCAGGCUUUUAUGUUUGCAUGUGCAACUCAUUUGUAGAGGAGGUUAUACUUUGUAUUGGAAUGUUCUUUAAUAUUUACUGAUUCAUAUGUUCUUUUCAUAUUCAUAUGUGAGCUUAAGUGGACUCCAGGGAUGGUGGAGGACAGGAAGGCCCGAAGGAAUGUUGUCCGUGGGGUCGCGAUGGGUCGGACACGACUUCGCGACUAACAACACCACCACCAACAACAUGUUCUUUUCAGUUACGUACCUGUUUCCUGGAGGUUGCUGCAUCAUCUGUGGAAAUGGAUGUUUGGUACCAUUCUGACAGAUAAAAGACUAAUAUUAGAACAUUGGAAGGAUAAUUGCCCAAUAGAUUGAGGACCUAAUAAAGUUUUAGCAUUUGAAUGGAUGACAUAUAGGCACCACUCUCAAAUGAACCUAUAUGGUUGCUUGGUCUGCUUGUAUUAAAGUUUACUGUAUGUAUUAUUGAUACUCAUACAUUCAAUUGCUCUCUUUCUCUCUUUUUCUCUCUCUGCCCAGCAUCAUGAGAAGCUAUGGUAAUUUUAUAACUUUGUGAUUUUUUUAAAACAUUGUUGGUCUCUUGUGUCAUCGAACCCCACUUUCAGAAUUUCAGCAUAGUACAUUUGGAGGGAUACAAUGGCUUGCUGCAAGGUUUCCAUGUUUCACUGCGGUUUCUUGUGAUCGCUUGACCCAGGAGUAGCAACAGAAGGGGCUGCCCUCGGCAUCUAAUCUUUACUAUACAUAGCUCCCUGGCAAUAUAUGCAUCAUCCCUUGCUUUGUUCUGUUGGCUGAGCGCUGUGCCCAUCAUCUUGUUUACAUUCUGAAACAGGGAAAAAACAGGUGAAUGGAUGGAGGAAGCAGAAGAAACCAUGGCAAAAAUGUUGAUUUUAAUUCAAUAAAAGACCCUUUGGAGUGGGAAUACCUAGGAAGUAUUAUGGAGGUGAAGGUACACUCAGGAGAGAGAAGAGGGAGAACAUACCUUAAAACCUCAGCAGACCAAUCAGGAAGCAACAGCUGAGGUAGCUAGGGAACAAUGCAGUGCAAAGAGGGGUUGCUUCAGGGGCUGUUGGGAUACCUGGUGGGAGCAGGAGAAUGGAACAGGAAGCAUGGAAACCAUGUUUCCCUGGACACCAUGCCUUUAUACAAUGCUGUUGAAAAUCAUCAUAGCAGUACAUUGUAAGAGGGCUUUUGUUUCUGUUUUAUAAUGGGAGUGACUCACCCCUUGCUAUACCUCCAGCUCCAGUUCCUAAAUACAGGCAGGUAACAAUGCAGAUGGGAGAGGAAAAAGCCAUUACUGCAUUUUAGGACACAGUCUAAUGGCCAUUAGAUGCUGGCUGGCUGGCUGGCUGGCUGCAAUCUUGGGAAAACCGCCUGGGAGCACAGUGGGCGCACCAUCUCUGGGGGUGGGAGCGCCCCUGCCUGAGCAGCCUGCAGAGUUCUUUCCAUGGGGUUCCUAAGAUGGGGCAGGUGCUGCAGGGGAGUUCAGUGGGGACAGUGAGGGAAGCAGCAAAGCACUGCUACUGUGCAAAGAAUCCAGACAGGGCUUCAGCCCUCCUCCUGGCCAGCAGGGGCAAAAGAGUUAGAUUGCUGAAAUCUGCCAGUUAAAUGCUCUGGAGAGUGAAGGGGGUACCGAGGCAAACCUAGCCUCUGCACUCUGGUCACGUUCAAUUAGAAUUCCCAUAAACCCCUGAGUGUGGAGGGAUAUGGGCAGCCCCAAGGGACUGUGCCCUUAGUAAAUGUGCACAGGUCUCCCUCAAAGGUGAUUAAAAGGGGGGAAAUGAUGCUAAUUUUGUGCAAAUAUUCCCAAAGGUGAAAAUGAACAUGUAUCUUAAAGAAGAAUAUGAACAAAUCUUCCCAAACAUGGAAAAAAUCUACAAAAUAAACUCUGCUUCACAAAUGA
Molecule: long non-coding RNA, 5254 nt
Organism: Varanus komodoensis (Komodo dragon)
Lineage: Eukaryota; Metazoa; Chordata; Lepidosauria; Squamata; Varanidae
Exons: 4
Source: RefSeq, a predicted model, not a curated record